RNAcentral lists this transfer RNA (71 nucleotides) under Marmota monax (woodchuck). RNAcentral's name for it is "tRNA.Undet". The record is from RNAcentral. Lineage: Eukaryota; Metazoa; Chordata; Mammalia; Rodentia; Sciuridae.
UGAGAUAUAGAUCAGUGGCAGAAUGCAUGUUAAUAUGAAUGAGGUCUUGGGUUGGAUCCCCAGCACCACAA